RNAcentral lists this ribosomal RNA (465 nucleotides) under uncultured bacterium. RNAcentral's name for it is "partial 16S ribosomal RNA". It matches the Rfam family "Bacterial small subunit ribosomal RNA", at positions 28 to 507 of the family's 1533-position model. The record is from RNAcentral.
GAUGAACGCUGGCGGCGUGCUUAACACAUGCAAGUCGAACGGAAAGGCUCCUGCUUGCCGGGGUACUCGAGUGGCGAACGGGUGAGUAACACGUGGGUGAUCUGCCCUGCACUUCGGGAUAAGCCUUGGAAACUGGGUCUAAUACCGGAUAGGACCACAUUUUGGAUGGUGUGGUGGAAAGUUUUUCGGUGUGGGUUGAGCUCGCGGCUUAUCAGCUGGUUGGUGGGGUAAUGGCUUACCAAGGCGUCGACGGGUAGCCGGCCUGAGAGGGUGUACGGCCACAUUGGGACUGAGAUACGGACCAGACUCCUACGGGAGGCAGCAGUGGGGAAUAUUGCACAGUGGGCGCAAGCCUGAUGCAGCGACGCCGCGUGGGGGAUGACGGCCUUCGGGUUGUAAACUACUUUCGCUAGGGACGAAGCGCAAGUGACGGUACCUGGAGAAGAAGCACCGGCUAACUACGUG